CCUUUUGGUUCACAGGCUGUCGCUUCAACCACAGAACCACACCGGCCAGGGCUAGCUGACCUAAUUUGAUAAUGUCAUUGUUAUUUAUGAUUUCAAAGAUGAAUUAGGAAAAAUAUUUUAUGCUCUCUAAAAUAUACAGACAUUCUUUUGGUUGUAUGAAAAAUUGGGUUGAUUUUGAAAAAUUCAUAGCACAAUCAUUCCUUUUUAAAAACUUUCUUCAAGGAGUUUUAUGCUGGAAAUAAUUUUUGCUACUAUCCACAAAAAGGAUAAAGAAAAUAAAAUAUAUAUGCAGUAGCAUUUUUGGUAUUUAAAAAUUAGGACUCAAAAUGAACUAUUAAAAGGGGGAGGUUAGAUUUCCAAAGGUAAAUAUAAAAAGAUAGUGUAAGCAAUAAAUAAGAAGAAUUAUUCAUUACAUUAACUGAAAUACUUAGUAACAAGAAGAUUUCAUCUUGAAAGUGUACGCAGUUGGAGAGCAUUAAAAUUAACUGAAGCCAUAAUUUCAUUUGCAUCCAAAAACCUGAGUAUGGAUGAAUGAGUCACUUGUAAUUAUAACAUAGUAUCCAAAACAGGAACUGAGAAUUUUUAAAAUCCAAGCAUUCUUAGAAUAAACACAUACCCAACUUGGAAUGGAAUGAAAAUCUAAGAGUUAUAUAACAGGAAUGUUAGACUUUGAACAUCCUUAUCAUCACUCUUUAGGUUUAUAUGCAUACUUCCCUUUUGGGUAGAUUUUACUGAUUCUCCUA
This is a long non-coding RNA of Pipistrellus kuhlii (Kuhl's pipistrelle), 743 nucleotides long. RefSeq lists it as uncharacterized. The transcript has 2 exons. Lineage: Eukaryota; Metazoa; Chordata; Mammalia; Chiroptera; Vespertilionidae. The record is from RefSeq and is a predicted model, not a curated record.